Molecule: ribosomal RNA, 1227 nt
Filed under: metagenome
Description: SSU rRNA
Rfam family: Eukaryotic small subunit ribosomal RNA
Source: RNAcentral
UAAAUCGUUUAACGAGUAUCAAUUGGAGGGCAAGUCUGGUGCCAGCAGCCGCGGUAAUUCCAGCUCCAAUAGCGUAUAUUAAAGUUGCUGCAGUUAAAAAGCUCGUAGUUGGAUCUGGGGCUUGAGGUCGCUGUCUAUCGUUUCGGCGAUGACGGUGAUGCUCAGCUCUGCUUGCCGGUGACUGUUGCGGUGUUCUUCACUGAGCGCUGUAGCAGCACGGCACGUUUACUUUGAAAAAAUUAGAGUGCUCAAAGCGUGCUUGUCGCUUGAAUAAUGUUGCAUGGAAUAAUGGAAUAGGACCUCGGUUCUAUUUUGUUGGUUUUCGGAGCUUGAGGUAAUGAUUAAGAGGGACGAACGGGGGCAUUCGUAUUGCGGUGUUAGAGGUGAAAUUCUUGGAUCGCCGCAAGACGGACUACUGCGAAAGCAUUUGCCAAGAACGCUUUCAUUAAUUAAGAACGAAAGUCAGAGGUUCGAAGACGAUCAGACACCGUCCUAGUUCUGACCAUAAACGAUGCCGACCAGCGAUCCGUAGUGGUUGCUUUAUGGACCCUACGGGCAGCCUCCGGGAAACCAAAGUAUUUGGGUUCCGGGGGAAGUAUGGUUGCAAAGCUGAAACUUAAAGGAAUUGACGGAAGGGCACACCAGGAGUGGAGCCUGCGGCUUAAUUUGACCAACACGGGAAAACUCACCCGGUCCGGACACCGUAAGGAUUGACAGACUGAUAGCUCUUUCUUGAUUCGGUGGAUGGUGGUGCAUGGCCGUUCUUAGUUGGUGGAGUGAUUUGUCUGGUUAAUUCCGAUAACGAACGAGACUCUAGCCUGCUAAGUAGUGUUGCUAUUGUUAUAUGGUUGACACUUCUUAGAGGGACAAGUGGCAUUUAGCCACGCGAAAUUGAGCAAUAACAGGUCUGUGAUGCCCUUAGAUGUCCGGGGCCGCACGCGCGCUACACUGGAGAAGUCAGCGUGUGUUAUCCAAGUCCGAAAGGACUGGGUAAUCCGUUGAACCUUCUUCGUGCUUGGGACUGUGGCUUGGAACUAUUCCACAUGAACGAGGAAUUCCUAGUAAUUGCAAGUCAUAAGCUUGCGUUGAUUACGUCCCUGCCCUUUGUACACACCGCCCGUCGCUACUACCGAUUGAAUGGUUUAGCAAGGUCCUCGGAUCGUGGCCGUAGGGGCACGCAAGUGUUUCUGCGGUUUGCGAGAAGACGACCAAACUUGAUCAUUUAGA